AAAACAUCGCCUCUUGCAAAGUAAUGAAUAAGAGGUCCCGCCUGCCCUGUGACUCUAAGUUUAACGGCCGCGGUAUUUUGACCGUGCGAAGGUAGCGCAAUCACUUGUCUUUUAAAUGGAGACCUGUAUGAAUGGCAUAACGAGGGCUUAGCUGUCUCCUUUCUCUAGUCAAUGAAAUUGAUCUCCCCGUGCAGAAGCGGGGAUAGAACCAUAAGACGAGAAGACCCUAUGGAGCUUUAGACGCCAAGACAGACCAUGUUAAACACCUCCUCAUAAGGAGCCCAAACCAAAUGGUCCCUGCCCUAGUGUCUUUGGUUGGGGCGACCGCGGGGAAACAUAAAACCCCCAUGUGGAAUGGGAGCACCCUCUCCUACAACUAAGAGCUACAGCUCUAAUGAACAGAAUUUCUGACCAACAAGAUCCGGCAAUGCCGAUCAACGGACCGAGUUACCCUAGGGAUAACAGCGCAAUCCCCUUUUAGAGCCCAUAUCGACAAGGGGGUUUACGACCUCGAUGUUGGAUCAGGACAUCCUAAUGGUGCAGCCGCUAUUAAGGGUUCGUUUGUUCAACGAUUAAAGUCCUACGUG
This 587-nucleotide ribosomal RNA is filed under the name Ammodytes personatus (Pacific sandeel). RNAcentral's name for it is "partial 16S ribosomal RNA". It matches the Rfam family "Bacterial large subunit ribosomal RNA", at positions 1810 to 2602 of the family's 2925-position model. Lineage: Eukaryota; Metazoa; Chordata; Actinopteri; Uranoscopiformes; Ammodytidae. The record is from RNAcentral.